GAAUGGAAGUGAGGAUGAGAGGAAAGAGUAACAAAAGUGAAAACAAUUUCAAAUAGAUUUCAGUUUUUUGUUUUUGUUUUCGCUUUUGUUACUUUUCCCUUCCAUCCUUCCCUCUCUUCUUU
RNAcentral lists this microRNA precursor (122 nucleotides) under Prunus dulcis (almond). Its description in RNAcentral is "sRNA ncRNA". Lineage: Eukaryota; Viridiplantae; Streptophyta; Magnoliopsida; Rosales; Rosaceae. The record is from RNAcentral.